AUUGAACGCUGGCGGCAUGCCUUACACAUGCAAGUCGAACGGCAUCGCGGGAAAGCUUGCUUUCCUGGCGGCGAGUGGCGAACGGGUGAGUAACACAUCGGAACGUACCGGCUAGUGGGGGAUAACCCGUCGAAAGACGGGCUAAUACCGCAUACGCUCUUCGGAGGAAAGCAGGGGACCUUUGGGCCUUGCGCUAGUCGAGCGGCCGAUGUCCGAUUAGCUAGUUGGUGGGGUAAAGGCCUACCAGGGCGACGAUCGGUAGCGGGUCUGAGAGGACGAUCCGCCACACUGGGACUGAGACACGGCCCAGACUCCUACGGGAGGCAGCAGUGGGGAAUCUUGGACAAUGGGGGCAACCCUGAUCCAGCAAUGCCGCGUGGGUGAAGAAGGCCUUCGGGUUGUAAAGCCCUUUCGGCAGGGAAGAAAUCGGCGGGGCGAAUAACCCUGCUGGAUGACGGUACCUGCAGAAGAAGCACCGGCUAACUACGUG
RNAcentral lists this ribosomal RNA (490 nucleotides) under uncultured bacterium. RNAcentral describes it as "partial 16S ribosomal RNA". It matches the Rfam family "Bacterial small subunit ribosomal RNA", at positions 29 to 507 of the family's 1533-position model. The record is from RNAcentral.